This 434-nucleotide ribosomal RNA is filed under the name uncultured bacterium. RNAcentral describes it as "bacterial SSU rRNA". It matches the Rfam family "Bacterial small subunit ribosomal RNA", at positions 340 to 787 of the family's 1533-position model. The record is from RNAcentral.
UACGGAAGGCAGCAGUGGGGAAUAUUGGACAAUGGGCGAAAGCCUGAUCCAGCCAUGCCGCAUGAGUGAAGAAGGCCUUCGGGUUGUAAAGCUCUUUUAGUGAGAAAGAUAAUGACGGUACUCACAGAAGAAGUCCUGGCUAACUCCGUGCCAGCAGCCGCGGUAAUACGGAGAGGGCUAGCGUUAUUCGGAAUUAUUGGGCGUAAAGAGCGCGUAGGCUGAUUAGUAAGUUAAAAGUGAAAUCCCAAAGCUUAACUUUGGAAUUGCUUUUUAAAACUGCUAGUCUAGAGAUUGAAAGAGGAUAGAGGAAUUCCUAGUGUAGAGGUGAAAUUCGUAAAUAUUAGGAGGAACACCAGUGGCGAAGGCGUCUAUCUGGUUCAAAUCUGACGCUGAGGCGCGAAGGGCGUGGGGAGACAAACGAGGAUUAGACUACC